This 248-nucleotide unclassified non-coding RNA is filed under the name uncultured Dothideomycetes. RNAcentral describes it as "sequence contains 5.8S rRNA gene, ITS2, 28S rRNA gene". Lineage: Eukaryota; Fungi; Ascomycota; Dothideomycetes. The record is from RNAcentral.
AACGCAUAUUGCACCCCUUGGUAUUCCGGGGGGUACACCUGUUCGAGCGCCAUUUCUAUCCUCAAGCAAUGCUUGGUGUUGGGUGGAGGUCAUUUACUGUAGGCCCCCCCGUAACUUGUAGGCGGUCAUACCCCGUAUCCACAGCGUAGCAAGCAAAACGCACCCGCUUUGGAAUGGUGUAUUUUUGAUCUGCCCAAAAAACCUCAAGGUUUGGCCUCGAAUCAGGUGGGGAUACCUGCUGAACUUAA